GAUCAGUGGGGAAACUGGAGAGGUGGCUGUCCCUGUUCCUGCCGGUGCCUGAAGCUUUCAGUGUUGUUCCAUCACACUGUGGCUCCAUACCUUUCCUCCUGUCCUCCCUCCCUGUUGGCUGGAGUCUAAUGUGACACUUCUUCCAAAACACAGAACCGCCUACAUUGUUCUCACUCUGUUGCCCAGGCUGGAGUGCACUGGCGCGAUCUCGACUUACUGCAACCUCCGCCUCCUGGGUUCAAGCGAUUCUCCUGCUUCAGCCUCCCGAGUAGCUGGGUUUCCAGGCGCCCACCUCGGCCUCCCAAAGUGCUGGGAUUACAGGCGUGAGCCACCGCGCCUGGCCUGACACUCCUUUUUAUUGAUUCCAGGUUUUUAGAUAAUAACCCUUUCAACCCCAAUUUCCAAUCAGAAAAUCUUUGAACCCACCUAUGAUCUGGAAGCCCCCGCCUUCAAGUUGUCCCACCUUACCAGGCUGAACCAAUGUACACCUUACAUGUAUUGACUGAUGUCUUCUUGUAACUUCUGUCCCCCUAAAAUGUAUAAAUCAACCUGUCACCCAGCCACCUUGGGCUCAUGUUCUCAGGACCUCCUGGGGCUGUAUCAUGGGCCUUGGUCACUUAUAUUUGGCUCACAAUAAACCUCUUUAAAUAUU
Molecule: long non-coding RNA, 652 nt
Organism: Pan troglodytes (chimpanzee)
Lineage: Eukaryota; Metazoa; Chordata; Mammalia; Primates; Hominidae
Exons: 2
Source: RefSeq, a predicted model, not a curated record